RNAcentral lists this ribosomal RNA (243 nucleotides) under uncultured bacterium. Its description in RNAcentral is "partial 16S ribosomal RNA". It matches the Rfam family "Bacterial small subunit ribosomal RNA", at positions 9 to 234 of the family's 1533-position model. The record is from RNAcentral.
GAGUUUGAUCCUGGCUCAGGAUGAACGCUGGCGGCGUGCCUAACACAUGCAAGUCGAACGAAGCAUCAUAAAGGAAGUUUACGGAUGGAAUUUAAGAUGACUGAGUGGCGGACGGGUGAGUAACGCGUGGAUAACCUGCCUCAUACAGGGGGAUAACAGCUAGAAAUGGCUGCUAAUACCGCAUAAGCGCACAGUGCCGCAUGGCAGAGUGUGAAAAACUCCGGUGGUAUGAGAUGGAUCCGC